UACGUAGGUGGCAAGCGUUGUUCGGAAUUAUUGGGCGUAAAGGGCGCGUAGGUGGCUGUGUAAGUCUGCUGUCAAAGAGCGAAGCUCAACUUCGUAAAGGCAGUGGAAACUACACGGCUAGAGUGCGUUCGGGGCAGAGGGAAUUCCUGGUGUAGCGGUGAAAUGCGUAGAGAUCAGGAAGAACACCGGUGGCGAAGGCGCUCUGCUAGGCCGCAACUGACACUGAGGGACGAAAGCUAGGGGAGCGAAUGGG
This 253-nucleotide ribosomal RNA is filed under the name uncultured bacterium. Its description in RNAcentral is "partial 16S ribosomal RNA". It matches the Rfam family "Bacterial small subunit ribosomal RNA", at positions 524 to 776 of the family's 1533-position model. The record is from RNAcentral.